This 433-nucleotide ribosomal RNA is filed under the name uncultured bacterium. Its description in RNAcentral is "bacterial SSU rRNA". It matches the Rfam family "Bacterial small subunit ribosomal RNA", at positions 27 to 449 of the family's 1533-position model. The record is from RNAcentral.
GAACGAACGCUGGCGGCGUGGAUAAGACAUGCAAGUCGAACGGGAUACCUUUGUAGCAAUACGAAGGGGUGUUCAGUGGCGUAAGGGUGCGUAACACGUGGGCAAUCUGCCGAGAUGUGGGGAUAGCUCGCCGAAAGGCGAAUUAAUACCGCAUGUGACCAGAGGCGACAUCGCUUCGACGUCAAAGCCGGGCAACCUGGCGCAUCUUGAGGAGCCCGCGGCCUAUCAGCUAGUUGGCGAGGUAAUGGCUCACCAAGGCUUUGACGGGUAGCUGGUCUAAGAGGACGACCAGUCACACUGGAACUGAGACACGGUCCAGACACCUACGGGUGGCAGCAGUCGAGAAUUUUUCUCAAUGGGGAAACCCUGAAGGAGCGACGCCGCGUGGAGGAUGAAGGUCUUCGGAUUGUAAACUCCUGUCAUUUGAGAACAA